RNAcentral lists this ribosomal RNA (253 nucleotides) under uncultured bacterium. Its description in RNAcentral is "partial 16S ribosomal RNA". It matches the Rfam family "Bacterial small subunit ribosomal RNA", at positions 524 to 776 of the family's 1533-position model. The record is from RNAcentral.
UACGGAGGGUGCAAGCGUUAAUCGGAAUUACUGGGCGUAAAGCGCGCGUAGGUGGUUGAAUAAGUCGAUUGUGAAAUCCCCGGGCUUAACCUGGGAAUUGCAUUCGAUACUGUUCAGCUAGAGUGUGGUAGAGGGAAGCGGAAUUCCGGGUGUAGCGGUGAAAUGCGUAGAUAUCCGGAGGAACACCAGUGGCGAAGGCGGCUUCCUGGACCAACACUGACACUGAGGCGCGAAAGCGUGGGGAGCAAACAGG